Molecule: ribosomal RNA, 652 nt
Filed under: Bacillus sp. CSu1_21
Lineage: Bacteria; Bacillati; Bacillota; Bacilli; Caryophanales; Bacillaceae
Description: bacterial SSU rRNA
Rfam family: Bacterial small subunit ribosomal RNA
Source: RNAcentral
GCAAGUCGAGCGAAUGGAUUAAGAGCUUGCUCUUAUGAAGUUAGCGGCGGACGGGUGAGUAACACGUGGGUAACCUGCCCAUAAGACUGGGAUAACUCCGGGAAACCGGGGCUAAUACCGGAUAACAUUUUGAACCGCAUGGUUCGAAAUUGAAAGGCGGCUUCGGCUGUCACUUAUGGAUGGACCCGCGUCGCAUUAGCUAGUUGGUGAGGUAACGGCUCACCAAGGCAACGAUGCGUAGCCGACCUGAGAGGGUGAUCGGCCACACUGGGACUGAGACACGGCCCAGACUCCUACGGGAGGCAGCAGUAGGGAAUCUUCCGCAAUGGACGAAAGUCUGACGGAGCAACGCCGCGUGAGUGAUGAAGGCUUUCGGGUCGUAAAACUCUGUUGUUAGGGAAGAACAAGUGCUAGUUGAAUAAGCUGGCACCUUGACGGUACCUAACCAGAAAGCCACGGCUAACUACGUGCCAGCAGCCGCGGUAAUACGUAGGUGGCAAGCGUUAUCCGGAAUUAUUGGGCGUAAAGCGCGCGCAGGUGGUUUCUUAAGUCUGAUGUGAAAGCCCACGGCUCAACCGUGGAGGGUCAUUGGAAACUGGGAGACUUGAGUGCAGAAGAGGAAAGUGGAAUUCCAUGUGUAGCGGUGAAAUGC